AUGCCUAGACCAGAAACUCAAAUAGCUGCCUUUCGAGAUGUCUUGAUGGCAUGUGAGUUAGUCGAUCUGGGGUUUUCUGGAAUACCCUAUACAUACGAUAAUAUGCAAUCAUGCUCUGCAAAUGUACGCGUUCCCCUGGAUCAUGCAGUGGCAACAAACGACUGGAGGAACAUGUACGCGUACUCUUUUGUGCAACACCUUGCGUCCCCUUGCUCGGACCAUAUUCCAUUGUUGCUGCGAUUUAUGGCAGAACAGGAGAAGCUCAGAACCAAGGUGCGGCGAUAUGAAAUCUUUUGGGAAUGUGAUGCAUAAUUACCAGAUCUUAUACACAAGGCGUGGUCGGCCUUAGGUACAAUGGAGAAUCCGGGUCAAGUUAGUGCUUCCUUGAAAUCUACUAUGACUUCCCUGCGAUCAUGGAGCAAUAAAAAGUUCGGAAACAUUAUGAAAGAAAGAAAUAAAUCACGCAGUCAGCUUGAAGAGUUGAUGAGAAUGAAUGUUGAUAGACAGGAAAUAAGAAAAGUUUCUGAUAAGCUCAAUGAACUUCUGUAUAAAGAAGAGAUGCUAUGGUUGCAAUGGUCUCGAAUCAUGUGGCUGAAGGAGGGAGAUAGGAACACAAUUUUUUUCCAGAGCAAGUCUGUGGGGAGGGCAAGAAAAAAGAGGAUAAGUGAGCUACAUGAUAAUGAUGGCAACGUGUAUACAGAGACUGACACUAUGUGCAACAUGACUACUUCUUAUUUUCAGGACAUAUUUACGGCUGAUUGA
Molecule: ribosomal RNA, 762 nt
Filed under: Triticum aestivum (bread wheat)
Lineage: Eukaryota; Viridiplantae; Streptophyta; Magnoliopsida; Poales; Poaceae
Description: partial small subunit ribosomal RNA
Source: RNAcentral